RNAcentral lists this long non-coding RNA (458 nucleotides) under Mustela putorius furo (domestic ferret). RNAcentral describes it as "lncRNA (ENSMPUG00000028641.1)". Lineage: Eukaryota; Metazoa; Chordata; Mammalia; Carnivora; Mustelidae. The record is from RNAcentral.
UUGGAGUCUGGCCCCCAGGGAGUAUUUAUAGAUGCCCCAAAAUUAAUACCGCUGCCCUCCUGCUGGGACGACCUGGACUGCCCCCAACAGCAGCUGCCUCUCCCACACCUGCUGCGUCUGAGUCCCAGAGAAUGUAGGAUUUAUUUAUUUUAGAGAGAGAGCCAACAUGCACAAGCACAAGCAGGAAGAUGAGAGAGAAAAGCAGACGCCCCGCUGAGCACAGAGCCAGAGGAAAGGCUUAAUCUCAAGACUUCAAGAUCAUGACCUGAGUGGAAACCAAGAGUCAGAAGCUUAACAUACAGAGCAACCCAGGCGUCUCAGAUAUUUUCCUUCUGACAGUGCCUUUCCCUUCUAAGUGCUUUAAACCUUAGGAUCUGGCUUCUAAAUGUGUUUCUCUCUUGGAUGCCAGGAGGUUCUUGAGAAGGGUGAGUUGUGGGCUUACCCUCUUUUUUCAAAGG